UUGUGCGGCGCCGCCUGGUCCCUGGUCCGUGGACGCCCGCGUCCUUUUGUCCCUUUCACGGCACGGCGUCCUGUCCCUAGGUCCGCACAGAAUCUUUCCUGUGGGCUCCAUUCUGUGCUCAGAUUAUCUCCGUCGCCUCCAAGAGUCUCUCUGGUGGAGGAGUGGGUGGAGCCGUUGACCAAAUGAAACGAUUGGAGCAGAACAGUCCCAGGUGCUGUUCCAUGGCUGAUGCUUGGCUUCUCACUUGUCUUCUGAUCAACACUGAAGAACAUCUGCCAAACCAUAAUCUUGGUUACCAUUGUCGAGGAUGACGUCAGUGCCUACAAUAUUUCUAAUGUAAAACCAUCUCCAAGGCCUGUAUUUUCAUGUGAGGUGUUCAUUUCGUUGGCAAUUUAUUAAUGGCACUGUUUACAUUUGCUCUUAGAUGUGUUGCUGUAAUUAAAAUAACUCCUGAAUGUAUCACUUGAGCCCAGAAGAACGAAUAAAGGCUUUACAUGAUGGAA
Molecule: non-coding RNA, 503 nt
Organism: Odocoileus virginianus texanus
Lineage: Eukaryota; Metazoa; Chordata; Mammalia; Artiodactyla; Cervidae
Source: RefSeq, a predicted model, not a curated record